Peromyscus leucopus (white-footed mouse) is the source of this 3171-nucleotide long non-coding RNA. RefSeq lists it as uncharacterized. NCBI's taxonomy places the organism in Eukaryota, Metazoa, Chordata, Mammalia, Rodentia, Cricetidae. The record is from RefSeq and is a predicted model, not a curated record. The transcript has 2 exons.
AGUAAGAUUUAUUUAAGCUCAUGCUUCUGGAAGUUUCAUUUGAUGGUUAUCUGGCCCCAUCUGUGCACUCGUGGUAGGGCGGAGCACCCUGAUGAAGAGGGUCAAGUAGAAUAGAGCUACUCAUCUCACACAGAGACAGAGCAAACCUCAAGAUAAGCACCUCAUGACCCAUUUCCCCAACCAGGCUCUCCCUCCUGACAGUUCAACAGACAGGUCUGUCAGGGGGUUAAUCCAGUGAAGUCAGGCACCUGUGAACCAGUCAUUUCCCAUAGUUCCCUCUGGUGAAUUCUACUGUGGAGGGAUCCAGGCCUUCAAUGAAGGAUUUUUCAGGGUCCAUACUUCAUUGUAAACCAUAGCAAAAAACAAUUCUAGACAUUCCUUUUGGUCACUUUUGUAUGUAAGAUUGGUUUCAUUUUCUAGAUACACAAAAUUAUUUCACUGCUAAUAUUAUUCAUGUUUGGGUUUUCCUGUCUCUGCCAGUAUACGGCCCCACACAUCUCCUUCAAUUAUUCUGAUUCAGGCCCUGAAAACUAAAAGGUAAGAGUUCUGUCCUUGAAGAACUCUCAGAUCUACUCUGGAGAGACAGACAGUUUUAUAAGGGGUCAGAAGCAUUUGAUAGAAAAGUGCAAGAACAUGGAGGAAGCAGAAUAGGGACAGUUACUAGCUGGAGCUUAUCCUGGUGUUACAUUCUCCUGGAAAACAAUGACUAAUGGAUAUCAACCAAUACAAUACAUUUGCUGGAUAGCGAUAACUGUGAUUAAGGUAUCGGUAUUGAUAGUGUGUAAACCUUGAAUUUGAGUCUAUUUAAGUCUACUGAGUUGAUCUUUAUUUAAAACUUACAUGUACUUACUGUCAUCUUGUGCAAGUAAUUAAGAUACUCCCAGUACCUAAGGGGAGCCACAUGUCCCUUUCAGUAGCUAUAUCCUGAGACACAUUUCCCUGGGGAUUUUCAUUUUAUUAUGUGUAAAGAACCAACAUCACCUGUUGUGUUAUGAAUACAAGAGUGCACAGGGUUUUUAAUCACUCUGUUAAUGGGAUAAUGAAUUAUGUUUGUUUCUAACCAACAAGGUAUCUACCUAAUUUAUUAGCAAUCUAAGAACCUUGCUUUGGCUAUAAAGGCAACAUGCCUUUAUGAGUGGAAAACAAAAUAGAGUAAAUAAUUUAUUCACUGAUGCAGGGCCUUGUUCCUGGUACCUUAUAUGAAAACUAAAUGGAAAUGAUGUUAGAUCUGUAUCCAUCAUAGAUAGCCAGACAUCAGUGUUAGAGACUGACAAUGUGGUGGUUGAGUGUAUAACCUAGUUGAAUGCAGAGAUGUUAAUGAGAACUAAGAUGUGUGAUCAGGGAGCAUGUUGGUGCACAAACAAGGCCCACCAACAUCUAAACAGGAAAAAUUCUACCUGAACAUGCUAAAAUGUCAUAAAGAAACAAACUGUUAGACCAGGCCACAGAAGUAUUUGCAAGAACUAUAGGAAUAAGGAAGAUCCCAUGCAUGGGAACCCCUAACAAUAUUCAAGGGUCUGAAAUAACAAUAGUUGAGCUUUCAAGGAAGGCUUAUUGCUUACUGCUGCAUAGCCAGAGCUCCAGCACUGUUUCCACAGCACUAGCAAGUGUGUGUUGAACUGAGCCAUCUGGCUGUGUGAGCAGAACUUUAGGUCAGUGGAUUGAUACUGCAGCUAAAGAAAGCCUGACAGACAAGUAUAUCACACCUCAGGGGUCUUGUUUGUUCAGGAUAGAGAGUGUGAACCUUGUCCUAUAAUUAAGCACUUCCUAAACAUGCUCCUUUAAAUGUCAGGUAUGGGACAUGCAGGUUCAUCACUCCAGGUUCUUACAUCUAUCCAUAAAGCUCAGGAAAGACUGGUUUAAAAGUUUAGACUUUCUUGUGUAUAUUAUAAAGCUCCAAGAGGGGACUAUCAUUCUUCAAAUUUCUAAGAUCCUGGAUAACAAUCAAAGACAAGUUCUGGCGUUCUCUGCAUGUUUUAUAAAAUCUACUUUGAACAAUGAAAAGUCAUUACAGGUUUCUAACAAAUAAUUGGCAUUCAAGCAUUGAAUUUCAGUUUAGAAGACUUGGGGUGAGGAACAGAAUGGGUGAGGGAAGGGUGGAAGUAAAAAGACUCUGUGGAAGGCAGGUGCCACAGUUUAGGAGAAGAUAGUGAUGAUGGCUUGAGAUUAUGCAUAGAGAAGAAGGUAUGAGCUGUAACUGGCGUUCCAGGGGUAGAACAUGUCAGAACUAGGAGCACACACAAGUUGUGCCCUGGACAAGGACAAAGAGCCAGUGGGUCCCAGUGCACUGACUCUGGCCUCUGUUCUUUGCUGCCAAACUUUGCACCAGAAGAAGCAGGGCUGCAUGCAGUCUGGAGAAGAUAUCAUCUAAGGUGCAGGGAUGCAUGCAGUCUAGAGAUGAUAUCAUCUAAGGUACAUGGCUGCCUGCAGUCUGGAGAAGAUAUCAUCUAAGGUGCUGGGUUGCAUGCAGUCUGGAGAAGAUAUCAUCUAAGGUGCAGGAUUGCAUGCAGUCUGGAGAAGAUAUCAUCUAAGGUGCAGGGUUGCAUGCAGUCUGGAGAAGAUAUCAUCUAAGGUGCAGGAUUGCAUGCAGUCUGGAGAAGAUAUCAUCAAAGGUGUGAGGCUGCAUGCAGUCUGGAAAAGGUAUCGUCUAAGGUGCAUGGCUGCAUGCAGUCUGGAGAAGAUAUCAUCUAAGGUGCAGGGUUGCAUGUAGUCUAGAGAAGAUAUCAUCUAAGGUGCAGGACUGCAUGCACUACAGAGGACAAUAUCUGUACUUCUAGUAAGUGGCUGAUGAGGUAUUGAGAGGAGUAUCUAAGAUUAUGACUAUUUCUAACAUACAUGCUUGCCUGGAUAAGGUUGUUUUAUUUUAUUUUUCAGCCUUCUUAUAAUUCUUUUAGAAAUACAGUCCCUGAAAUCAAUAUCUCUCGGGAAGGAAUAGUGACUGUGUAACUCUGUUGUUCUGAACAGACUCUGCCAAAAGCUAAGGUUUUAUCUUUAUCACAUAUUAAAGUAUAGGUACUAUUAUACCAAAAAAAAGCUCUUCUGAGAUUUGAAGCAGGGGUUAUAAGUCCAAAUGCUUACAGCACCCAUUCAAGCAUUGUAAAUAAGUAAAGUGUGUAGCAGACUAAGAGUCUGGGCAUGAAGCUCACAGAAAAUGUCUCCAUUAAAAAAAAA